GCCAAUGUCAUUAUAGUGGCAUGAGUGCUGGACUAAGAUGCUGGAGACCAGGGUUCGAAUCCCUGCUUGGUCU
Non-coding RNA from Phrynosoma platyrhinos (Desert horned lizard), 73 nucleotides. NCBI's taxonomy places the organism in Eukaryota, Metazoa, Chordata, Lepidosauria, Squamata, Phrynosomatidae. The record is from the annotation of a GenBank genome assembly.